Molecule: ribosomal RNA, 492 nt
Filed under: uncultured bacterium
Lineage: Bacteria
Description: partial 16S ribosomal RNA
Rfam family: Bacterial small subunit ribosomal RNA
Source: RNAcentral
AGUGAACGCUGGCGGCAGGCCUAACACAUGCAAGUCGAACGGAAGCACAGUAAGCGCUUGCCCUUACGGGUGGCGAGUGGCGGACGGGUGAGGAAUACAUCGGAAUCCACUUUUACGGGGGGGACAACGUAGGGCAACUUACGCUAAUACAGCAUAUGUCCUACGGGUGAGAGCAGGGGAGCUUCGGACUUUUCGCGAUUGUAUGAGCCGAGGUCGGAUCAGCUAGUUGGCGGGGUAAAGGUACAGCAAGGCGACGAUCCGAAGCUGCUCCGAGAGGAUGGUCGCCCACCUGGGAACUGGGCCACGGCCCAGACUCCUACGGGGGGCAGCGGUGGGGAAUAUUGGACAAGGGGCGCAGGCCUGAUCCAGCCAUACCGGUUGGUUGAAGAAGGCCUUCGGGCGGUAAAGCCCUUUUGUUGGGAAGGACAAACAGCUGGUUAAUACCGCGCGGUUCUGACGGUACCCAACGAAUAAGCACCGGCUAACUUCGUG